CAGAUGUGAUCAAAUUAAGUGUCUUGAGAUGGGUAGAUUAUCCUCGACUAUCUGGGGGGGGGUGCUAUGUAAUCAUAAUAUUCUUAAAAGAGGGGCACAGAAGGAGGAGGCAUAAUGGAAGCAGAGAGUAGAGUGAUGUACUUUGAACAUGGAGAAAGGGGCCAAAAGCCAAGGAAUUCAGGUGACCACUGGAAGCUAGAAAGGACCAGGAGAUGGAUUUUCCCUUCAGUCUUCAGAAGGAACCAUCCCGGCUGACAUCUUGACUUUAGCCUAAUGAGACUGAUUUCAGGGGCUUCUCCUAGUCAGUUGAAGACUUAAAGAAAAAAAAAAAAGACUGAGAUCUUCCAAGGAAGAAAGAAUCCUGCCUUCAGACUACCUUUGAACUCAAAACUGCAACAUCAACUCUUUCCUGGUUCUCCAGCCUUUUGGAUUUGACAGCCCCCACUAAAAUCUCUGCUCUGCAAAGGUUACUUUUAAGAGACUGGAAAGUGAAUGGCUGGAAGUGAUGCAACACCAGAAAUUGACAUCCUCACUUAUUUAAAAUAGCCACGAAACAUGCUCAUUUUAAGGUCUUAACUUAUAUCAAUCCUACAAGAGUAAUUGCAUAUAAUUCCACUCAACGCACACAUCUGUCUAGUCAUAAGUCAAUUCGGUCAUAUGGAGAUAUUUAAUGAAAUUCCUGGAGGACAUUUGGAACACAGUGAGAAGAUAGGUGUCUAUGAACUAUGAAGUAGGCUCUCGCCAGACUCUGAAUCUGCCAGCUUCUUGAUCCAGAACUCUGAGAAAUAAAUUUUUG
This is a non-coding RNA of Microcebus murinus (gray mouse lemur), 796 nucleotides long. The record is from RefSeq and is a predicted model, not a curated record. Lineage: Eukaryota; Metazoa; Chordata; Mammalia; Primates; Cheirogaleidae.